This 253-nucleotide ribosomal RNA is filed under the name uncultured bacterium. Its description in RNAcentral is "partial 16S ribosomal RNA". It matches the Rfam family "Bacterial small subunit ribosomal RNA", at positions 524 to 776 of the family's 1533-position model. The record is from RNAcentral.
UACGUAGGAGACAAGCGCUAUCCGGAUUUACUGGGCGUAAAGGGAGCGUAGGCGGAUAAUUAAGUGGGAUGUGAAAUACCCGGGCUCAACCUGGGUGCUGCAUUCCAAACUGAUUAUCUAGAGUGCAGGAGAGGAGAGUGGAAUUCCUAGUGUAGCGGUGAAAUGCGUAGAGAUUAGGAAGAACACCAGUGGCGAAGGCGACUCUCUGGACUGUAACUGACGCUGAGGCUCGAAAGCGUGGGGAGCAUACAGG